RNAcentral lists this ribosomal RNA (482 nucleotides) under uncultured bacterium. RNAcentral's name for it is "partial 16S ribosomal RNA". It matches the Rfam family "Bacterial small subunit ribosomal RNA", at positions 29 to 507 of the family's 1533-position model. The record is from RNAcentral.
AUUGAACGCUGGCGGCAUGCCUUACACAUGCAAGUCGAACGGUAACGCGGGGCCACCUGGCGACGAGUGGCGAACGGGUGAGUAAUGCAUCGGAACGUGCCCAGAAGUGGGGGAUAGCCCGGCGAAAGCCGGAUUAAUACCGCAUGAGACCUGAGGGUGAAAGCGGGGGAUCGCAAGACCUCGCGCUUUUGGAGCGGCCGAUGUCAGAUUAGCUAGUUGGUGGGGUAAAGGCCUACCAAGGCGACGAUCUGUAGCUGGUCUGAGAGGACGACCAGCCACACUGGGACUGAGACACGGCCCAGACUCCUACGGGAGGCAGCAGUGGGGAAUUUUGGACACUGGGCGCGAGCCUGCUCCAGCCGUGCCGCGUGCGGGAAGAAGGCCUUCGGGUUGUAAACCGCUUUUGUCAGGGAAGAAACGCUCUGGGCUAAUACCCUGGGGUAAUGACGGUACCUGAAGAAUAAGCACCGGCUAACUACGUG